AUCCUUGUCCCCCAGCUGCACCGAGAAGACACUGAAUUUCUCCUGUUGAAGUAAGAGACUUGGCUUCAUUGAAGAUCUUGUGCUUGAAUGCGGUCUUCCACCUCUCAAACAACUUGUUGGAUGUUUUAGCAUUGAACAGCAGAGCAAAGUCCUGAUUUACCUAAUGAUUAAUAAUCGUAUAUUUCAAGAUAUAAGAGAGAAAUAGUUGGUAUAUAUUGUAACCUUAGUUUUGACAGGUAUAGGUCAAAGGUCAAAAAGAUACACAUUCUAACUCUCUAUAUCUAGAUCAAAGGUCAUGAUCAUAAAAAUAUUUAUAGUUAUGUUAAAUCUGGAUCACAUCCAUUCGUUACCAUACAUGGUGCGGCCAUGUGUUUUCCACCCCACACACGUUGCACACAUGUUCUUUCUAACACUCUGUGGUAGGUCAUAAAAUAUAUAUAGUUAUGUUAAAUCUGGAUCACAUCCAUUCGUGACACAAACGUUACCAUACCUGGUAUGGCCAUAUGUUUUCCACCCACACAAGUUGCACACACAUGUUCUUUCUAACACUCUGUGGUAGGUCAUAAAAAUAUAUAUAGUUAUGUUAAAUCGGGUUCCCAUCUAUUCCUGACACAAACGUUACUAGUUAUGUUAAAUCGGGUUCCCGUCCAUUCCUGACACAAAUGUUACUAUACAUGGUACGGCCAUGUGUAUUACACAUCCAAACAAAAAUAUGACACACACAAACGCACUUUAUUUUCACAUUAUUUAAAAGGAAUUUAAGAGUUUUGUACUAAAUUACCAUAAUUAUGAACACAAGUUGUUAAGUUGA
Ictalurus punctatus (channel catfish) is the source of this 811-nucleotide long non-coding RNA. The record is from Ensembl. Lineage: Eukaryota; Metazoa; Chordata; Actinopteri; Siluriformes; Ictaluridae.